RNAcentral lists this transfer-messenger RNA (359 nucleotides) under Dehalococcoidia bacterium. It matches the Rfam family "transfer-messenger RNA". From Rfam's summary of the family: Bacterial tmRNA, also known as 10Sa RNA or SsrA, is named for its dual tRNA and mRNA-like properties. Its role is to liberate the mRNA from a stalled ribosome. To accomplish this part of the tmRNA is used as a reading frame that ends in a translation stop signal. The record is from RNAcentral. Lineage: Bacteria; Bacillati; Chloroflexota; Dehalococcoidia.
GGGGGCGCGUGGUUUCGACAGGGGCUCCUCCCGGUGAGAGAGCAGGCCGAGGUGCCGUGAUCUCGUUAAACACGCGGCACAAAAGUAGCUGGCAACAACCAACGCCUAGCUCUCGCUGCCUAACUUAAGGUAGCGACGUUCGGGGUCGUUUUCCCUCGCGGACGGCGCCGAGCGACAAAUCAGCGGGGUGCUGUUGACGGGUCGUCGGGGCCCGCCGACCUAAGACUUUCCGGCUGGUUGACGGGGACCCUGUUGGCCGGGGCCCCGAUCGAUGAGAAUUAAAUAGACCGACUAAGCCUGUAGCGCUCCACUCGGGACAACCUUUGGACGGGGAGUUCGACUCUCCCCCGCCUCCACCA